RNAcentral lists this ribosomal RNA (594 nucleotides) under uncultured rumen bacterium. RNAcentral's name for it is "bacterial SSU rRNA". It matches the Rfam family "Bacterial small subunit ribosomal RNA", at positions 1 to 669 of the family's 1533-position model. The record is from RNAcentral.
UAGAGUUUGAUCCUGGCUCAGGACGAACGCUGGCGGCGUGCUUAACACAUGCAAGUCGAACGGAACCUUCGGGUUUAGUGGCGAACGGGUGAGUAAUGCGCAGGUAAUCUGCCGCAAGUCGGGGACAACGUUCCGAAAGGGACGCUAAUACCGGAUGUUGUAAGAUUUUCGCAUGAAUUUCUUACCAAAGAUUUAUCGCUUUGCGAGGAGCCUGCGUCCGAUUAGGCAGUUGGCGGGGUAAAAGCCCACCAAACCGACGAUCGGUAGCCGGUCUGAGAGGAUGAACGGUCACAAUGGAACUGAGACACGGUCCAUACUCCUACGGGAGGCAGCAGUGGGGAAUAUUCCACAAUGGGCGAAAGCCUGAUGGAGCGACGCCGCGUGAGUGAAGAAGGCUUCGGCUCGUAAAGCUCUUUUCUCGUUGACGAAUUGUUUUCGGAACAGUUGACGUAGACGGGGAAUAGCCACGGCUACUACGUGCCAGCAGCCGCGGUAAUACGUAGUGCAAGCGUUGUCCGAAUUAUUGGGCGUAAAGGGAGCGCAGCGGAAUCAGUCCAAUUAAAGUCCGGAGUAUGGCCGUGAUGGUUGAAACUG